CAACUUCUACGGANGCAGNAUNNAGGNNNUGGACAAUCGGNNNAGCAUGANCAGNCAUGCCGGNNNNNGAAGACGGUCCNNUGGGUUNGUAAACUACNUUAGUCNGGGGAUAAACCUANUUUACGUGUAAGUAGCUGAAGGUANCAGAUGAAUNAGCNCCGGCUAACUCCGUGCCAGCAGCCGCNGUAAUANGGAGGGUGCAAGNGUUAUCNGGAUUAUUGGGUUAAAGGGUCNGUAGGCGGACUGAUCAGUCAGUGGUGAAAUCCGACAGCUUAACUGUCGAACUGCCAUUGAUNCUGUUAGUCUUGAGUAAGGUUGAAGUGGCUGGAAUAAGUAGUGUAGCGGUGAAAUGCAUAGAUAUUACUUAGAACACCAAUUGCGAAGGCAGGUCACUAAGUCUUAACUGACGCUGAUGGACGAAAGNGUGGGGAGCGAACAGGAUUAGAUACCCUGGUAGUCCACGCCGUAAACGAUGAUUACUCGUUUUUGGGUUUUAGGAUUCAGAGACUAAGCGAAAGUGAUAAGUAAUCCACCUGGGGAGUACGUUCGCAAGAAUGAAACUCAAAGGAAUUGACGGGGGCCCGCACAAGCGGUGGAGCAUGUGGUUUAAUUNGAUGAUACGCGAGGAACCUUACCAAGACUUAAAUGGGAAAUGACAGAUUUAGAAAUAGAUCCUUCUUCGGACAUUUUUCAAGGUGCUGCAUGGUUGUCGUCAGCUCGUGCCGUGAGGUGUUAGGUUAAGUCCUGCAACGAGCGCAACCCCUGUCACUAGUUGCUAACAUUAAGUUGAGGACUNUAGUGAGACUGCCUACGCAAGUAGAGAGGAAGGUGGGGAUGACGUCAAAUCAUCACGGCCCUUACGUCUUGGGCCACACACGUGCUACAAUGGCCGGUACAGAGGGCAGCUACCUAGUGAUAGGAUGCAAAUCUCGAAAGCCGGUCUCAGUUCGGAUUGGAGUCUGCAACUCGACUCUAUGAAGCUGGAAUCGCUAGUAAUCGCGCAUCAGCCAUGGCGCGGUGAAUACGUUCCCGGNCCUUGUACACACCGCCCGUCAAGCCNUGGAAGCUGGGGGUACCUGAAGUCGGUGACCGUAAAAGGAGCUGCUNUG
Molecule: ribosomal RNA, 1109 nt
Filed under: Elizabethkingia sp. B914
Lineage: Bacteria; Pseudomonadati; Bacteroidota; Flavobacteriia; Flavobacteriales; Weeksellaceae
Description: partial 16S ribosomal RNA
Rfam family: Bacterial small subunit ribosomal RNA
Source: RNAcentral